UCGUGUCCGUGUCGUACUUUUUAUUUCCCCUUUCACAGGGCAUAACACAGGCAUGCAAUUUACAUGUUUGAUCAGAUACUAGAUGGGCACUGAAGCACGGUGUUAAACGGGCCUGGGGCUGAAGACCGUAUUGUUUAUUAUCAGGAUGCAGCCUCUACUGCUCUGUGUCGCCACCUGCAGGGAUAGGUCGUGGACACGCUGAAGUGAAGAGGAAGAGAAAGCAGGAGAGAGAGAGACAGAAAAAACAGAAAGGAGCAGCGAGACAGAAGGGUCUCCACCAUGCACAGAGCUGAUCUGUGUGUAUAUAUUGUGACAUUUCCAAGUGGUCUCCGAUGUGGGGAUGGCACACCUGUUUAAUGAGCCACUAAUGGUGGCACUAAUUGAGGUGGGUUAAUUUCAUGUCAUCAUGAACUCGUCAUGUACAGCACCAAAGGAAUUGCAUAUAUGGCGCAGGAAAUAUUCUGUGAUUGAACCGAGGCUUGCCUGAUCCCCUAUCACCUCCCUGAAUCACACAAGCCUCUCUGAGCCCUUGGAUUUGAAAUGCAGAAUUCUUUCGAUUACCAUCCAACAACUUAAAGUUUCAUUAAAACUCACAUUCGGAAUGAGAAGGAAUGCUUAACAUGAUCACAGCACUACUCAACCGAGCAGCCACUCCUUAGCUGACUAAAUAAACAGGAUUUUUACGAUGAUUUCUUUUCUUCUUUUUUUUUUUCUGUUGCUGCAGCCGCACAGCCGUAAUGAGCAGUGUUUUAAAGUUUGGUUGAAGGUUUCAGUGGCGUGGUCUGAAGGAUUGUGAGGCAGCGGACAGUGGAGAGUUGCAGCUAAGGAGAAGAUACAAUCCUCUCACACCCUCAGGGCUUUUCCAUUAUCCCACUCUUUCUGGAUCAUAUAACACAGGGUUGUGUGUGUGUGUGUGUGUGUGUGUGUGUGCAGCCAACUUGUGUUUGGCUGUGAUUGCGUGCACACUUGUACUGUAUAUGGAUGUGUGCGUGUUCACAUUAUUCUCACAAAGUGCCCGUUCAUUUUUUGUUCUUACCACCUCUUCUGUCCUUUUAAAGCUUUCUUUUCAUUACUGUUAAUAUCUGGUUUGUUCUACCAACUAGGGACAAUGACAGGCGUGUGCUAUUUGAUAUUAAUUUGCCAAAUGCCCCAGGUCUUGACUUUGUGGGAGAAGGGGAGCAGGAGAGGAGCACAAGAGCAGUCAGGUGAAAGAAGCAAGAUAAAGAGAACCAUUUCAUUUAUUGUCUGAUGCCACAGUUGUUUCUCUUUUUACUCUGCAUCCAGACAAUCACGCACUGUUAGGCACAGAGGAAGACAAACAGGUUCAUAGAUGUGCAUACUAACAGGAUAGGCUCACAUUUUUUCAGGUCCACCUAAUUACAAAAUAACCAUAUGUACAUUUGCUGCUGUUAUUGCUGGGGGAGUGUAUCUAUGCUUCCUCCAGUCCAUACUAGUGAAAAGAUUCCUUACUAAUGUGAUUCAAAUGUAUGAGAUGGGAGGGAAACUGUAAUGACAGCAUCAGCAUCAUCUGUCAGAAGCAAAGAAGGAAGUAGUAGUAAAAAUAUUACAGUGCCACAAAUUUCACAGUGGGAGGAAGUUGGGGUAUAUGGAUGAGUCAACAAAAUAGCAGACUUUUACACGGGAGGUGUAUCCUUAACCAAGCGGUUAUUACUAUAACCAUGACUACAAACGUCCCCUAAACUUAGAGAGGUUUAAAUGUUAAACAAAACUACAACCAUUCCCAAAACCUACCCUACUUGUUGUGCCUAAACCAUUGUCUGACAUUAGCAUCAGGUCAGAAUUAGAGGACAUUCUAUAGGGCAUGGACAAAUUAUGACUUAAUGUGUUUUUAGAAAUGAAAUUUGUGUCAAGAGAGUAUUUCAUACUAAAAUGAUGGUAGAUAUCCACUUGAGCUUCAGCUGAACUUUAGUAAGCAUUUUUACACAGAACAGGGAUUUCCCCGCCUCAUCUCUUACAUCGGAAUCAAAUUAGAAAAGAAUCAUUUCAUAGCUCAUUUGGACAUGAAAAUCGAUCACAGUCACCAGUAACUCUUCAAAUGUACACAUGGGCAUUUUGUAUUAAGGUAGACUUAAAAACGUGAACCUAUGCUUUAAUAUCCUAUUCCAGUAUUUAUGGAGAGAAUAGGAGAAGCAUUUGCAUUUCUCCUCUCACCAAUGCCGCUCCCACACUAUAUUACAUCAUCUCCACAUGCAUGCAGCUUGCAUGGAUUCCUGCACGGCCCUGAACAGUUGGUGGACUGUCCGAGGCACUACUCUACCUCUAAACCUCCCUCAGUGCGGUCAAACCCUGUGUACUUUCCGUGUGUGUUGAUAGACACUGUGUGUCAGCGCCUGUGUCCUGGGUCAGCGUACGCCUUCUUUCUCUUACCCACCGUACAGCUGCGAGACAGUCUGCAGCCUCACAAAGCAACGGAGUAAUGAGUCCCAUGACAGUCCGGUGGAAUAGGCUCUGAAUAGGUAAUGAUGGAGUCUGAAGGUGUUGGAAACACUGGCUGUGUCUGAUGGGGGGUUAUAAUGUAGUCUUGAAGCAUUCUUCCCACUACUUGUCAGGGAGAGUUGUGCUGGCACAAUACUUGCCAUCUAAAAUUUAUUGUAUAACGUCACAUGCCUGUGUUGGAAUUGUGUUCCCCAUGCACUGCCCAUUGAAUCAUAUUCGGGUCCCUGUUCCUGGUUAAUGGUCUAUACAUAUAGGACUCCCCCCAUAUUUAUGCUAUACAUGCUACUGGGCCCAAAACAGGGAGGUGUACAGAAAGACAGAUUGCCACAAUGACGCUUGAUAUUCAGAUGUGGUGGAGCCCAUAUAACAACUAACACCCUGGCUGGACGGAGGAACGUUGGAACUUCAGCUGACAGUUCCUGUGUUACAUUCAAAUGACUUGUGUUAAUGUUCUUCUCUUUGCAGCUCCAAUGAUGCAUCUUGUUGUGUUUAUGUGCAUGUGUGUCACACAUGACAUUGUGUGCCUUUCUAUCCACCUGUCUGUAUGUUUUUCUAUCUGUACUCAUGUAUUUAUGUAUUUAUGCUCGGAGAGAGGCCGCCUAGUAGUGCCUAAGGCAUAAUUAAAGCCCGAGAGUCGAAGCA
This is a long non-coding RNA of Micropterus dolomieu (smallmouth bass), 3099 nucleotides long. RefSeq lists it as uncharacterized. The transcript is spliced from 2 exons. The record is from RefSeq and is a predicted model, not a curated record. NCBI's taxonomy places the organism in Eukaryota, Metazoa, Chordata, Actinopteri, Centrarchiformes, Centrarchidae.